This 113-nucleotide ribosomal RNA is filed under the name Neogale vison (American mink). Lineage: Eukaryota; Metazoa; Chordata; Mammalia; Carnivora; Mustelidae. The record is from RNAcentral.
GUCUAUGGCCAUACCACCCUGAACGCGCCCAAUCUCGUCUGAUCUCGGAAGCUAAGCAGGGUCGGGCCUGGUUAGUACUUGGAUGGGAGAGGGGACAUUCGGACUGAGAGUCU